GUGAGCGUAGCCCAGUGGUUAAGGCGCCAGGUUGUGGCCCUGGAGAUCGUGGGUUCAAAUCCCACCGUUCACCCCA
Molecule: transfer RNA, 76 nt
Filed under: Chloroflexota bacterium
Lineage: Bacteria; Bacillati; Chloroflexota
Also listed under: 2 other names
Description: Chloroflexi bacterium (hot springs metagenome) tRNA-His
Rfam family: tRNA
About the family: Transfer RNA (tRNA) molecules are approximately 80 nucleotides in length. Their secondary structure includes four short double-helical elements and three loops (D, anti-codon, and T loops). Further hydrogen bonds mediate the characteristic L-shaped molecular structure. tRNAs have two regions of fundamental functional importance: the anti-codon, which is responsible for specific mRNA codon recognition, and the 3' end, to which the tRNAs corresponding amino acid is attached (by aminoacyl-tRNA synthetases). tRNAs cope with the degeneracy of the genetic code in two manners: having more than one tRNA (with a specific anti-codon) for a particular amino acid; and 'wobble' base-pairing, i.e. permitting non-standard base-pairing at the 3rd anti-codon position.
Source: RNAcentral